ACUGAAUGGAGGACCGAACCGACUUACGUUGAAAAGUGAGCGGAUGAACUGAGGGUAGCGGAGAAAUUCCAAUCGAACCUGGAGAUAGCUGGUUCUCUCCGAAAUAGCUUUAGGGCUAGCCUCAAGUGAUGAUUAUUGGAGGUAGAGCACUGUUUGGACGAGGGGCCCCUCUCGGGUUACCGAAUUCAGACAAACUCCGAAUGCCAAUUAAUUUAACUUGGGAGUCAGAACAUGGGUGAUAAGGUCCGUGUUCGAAAGGGAAACAGCCCAGACCACCAGCUAAGGUCCCAAAAUAUAUGUUAAGUGGAAAAGGAUGUGGCGUUGCCCAGACAACUAGGAUGUUGGCUUAGAAGCAGCCAUCAUUUAAAGAGUGCGUAAUAGCUCACUAGUCGAGUGACACUGCGCCGAAAAUGUACCGGGGCUAAACAUAUUACCGAAGCUGUGGAUUGUCCUUUGGACAAUGGUAGGAGAGCGUUCUAAGGGCGUUGAAGCAUGAUCGUAAGGACAUGUGGAGCGCUUAGAAGUGAGAAUGCCGGUGUGAGUAGCGAAAGACGGGUGAGAAUCCCGUCCACCGAUUGACUAAGGUUUCCAGAGGAAGGCUCGUCCGCUCUGGGUUAGUCGGGUCCUAAGCUGAGGCCGACAGGCGUAGGCGAUGGAUAACAGGUUGAUAUUCCUGUACCACCUAUAAUCGUUUUAAUCGAUGGGGGGACGCAGUAGGAUAGGCGAAGCGUGCGAUUGGAUUGCACGUCUAAGCAGUAAGGCUGAGUAUUAGGCAAAUCCGGUACUCGUUAAGGCUGAGCUGUGAUGGGGAGAAGACAUUGUGUCUUCGAGUCGUUGAUUUCACACUGCCGAGAAAAGCCUCUAGAUAGAAAAUAGGUGCCCGUACCGCAAACCGACACAGGUAGUCAAGAUGAGAAUUCUAAGGUGAGCGAGCGAACUCUCGUUAAGGAACUCGGCAAAAUGACCCCGUAACUUCGGGAGAAGGGGUGCUCUUUAGGGUUAACGCCCAGAAGAGCCGCAGUGAAUAGGCCCAAGCGACUGUUUAUCAAAAACACAGGUCUCUGCUAAACCGUAAGGUGAUGUAUAGGGGCUGACGCCUGCCCGGUGCUGGAAGGUUAAGAGGAGUGGUUAGCUUCUGCGAAGCUACGAAUCGAAGCCCCAGUAAACGGCGGCCGUAACUAUAACGGUCCUAAGGUAGCGAAAUUCCUUGUCGGGUAAGUUCCGACCCGCACGAAAGGCGUAACGAUUUGGGCACUGUCUCAACGAGAGACUCGGUGAAAUCAUAGUACCUGUGAAGAUGCAGGUUACCCGCGACAGGACGGAAAGACCCCGUGGAGCUUUACUGUAGCCUGAUAUUGAAAUUCGGCACAGCUUGUACAGGAUAGGUAGGAGCCUUUGAAACGUGAGCGCUAGCUUACGUGGAGGCGCUGGUGGGAUACUACCCUAGCUG
This 1450-nucleotide ribosomal RNA is filed under the name Staphylococcus aureus. RNAcentral's name for it is "partial 23S ribosomal RNA". It matches the Rfam family "Bacterial large subunit ribosomal RNA", at positions 761 to 2211 of the family's 2925-position model. Lineage: Bacteria; Bacillati; Bacillota; Bacilli; Caryophanales; Staphylococcaceae. The record is from RNAcentral.